RNAcentral lists this non-coding RNA (21 nucleotides) under Arabidopsis thaliana (thale cress). Lineage: Eukaryota; Viridiplantae; Streptophyta; Magnoliopsida; Brassicales; Brassicaceae. The record is from RNAcentral.
GCUGGUUGCUCCGUUAUAUGC